CAACAUUCGAACGUACUUCGUUAAACCAGACUGCAGGAUGAAUGAUUUUUUGCAUCAUGCUAUUAUAGUUGUUUUGGCUGUGGUAAUGUUAUGGACAUAUGUUGUCCGAGCACAAGAACCAGAUGGAGAUGGGGAUGAAGGAUAAAGGGUUUGUUUUUAUUUAUUUAAUUGAAUUUGACAUCUUUGAUGGGUUGUAUUUCGACAUGAUUGUAUAAAUCGCGCUACAACUUCUUAUCUGUUGUUAAAGGUAACCAAAUAAAACUUUCAAAAAGUUGUUUGGAAAGAAACAAAAAUAAAUUCUUUCAUUAUUUUAUUUUAAGCGGACAUUUAAAAUUACAAUAGAUUUAGAAAUAUACAAUAUGAUUUUAUAUGUGACGAUUGAUAAGUAUGGAAUAAUAUGAUUUAUCUAUUAGAUGUAAUUGCCGUGAAAUUAGUUUUAAAUAGAACUUGCGAGUACUUUUUAAACGGUGUUUUUUUUUUUAUCUAUGGCUUCUAUGUUAGUUGUUUUGGGGAUUCGUACUGAUCUUCUGUUGGCAGCCAUUUGAAAAUAAUGUUCAGGGUAAGAUUUGCUUUUUUGACCUUCGCCCGGUUUAUGGAGAGAGAUCAGCGCUCAGCACAUGCUUUGUUCUUUCACUUACCUUUUUGCUAGUCGAACCUAAGGGGCCAAUAGGUCAACGUUUGUUAAUGAUACAUGUCUGGCAUAUUUAUUUUUGCUCAUUGUUUUGCAUAUCGUUAAUCUUCUCGUUUGAAUUGAUUCACAUUUACAUGUGGGCGGUUGUAACUAUAUGGUGUGGGUAUUUUCACUUUGUUGAAGGUCGUACGUUCACUUCUUAAUUGUUAUAUCUACUUCAGUUUAACCUUUCAGUAGAUAGAUGUUUUUUUUUAUAUCAGGUUGAUUGUAGAUGGUAUUAAAUUUACCUUUUCCGUCGUUUUUUUUUUUGGUUAUAUAAAUCUUUUCAUUCAAGUAUUACGGUAUAAAAAGUAAAAUCACAAAAAUACUGAAUUUAGAGGAAAAUCAAUUCGGAAAGUCCAUAAUCACAUGGCAAAAUCAAAAAACAAAACGUAUCAAAAACGAAUGGACAAGAACUGGUACAGGCAUUUUCAAAUGUAGAAAAACAUCCACUAACGUACCGAGUUGAUAAAUGCUUAUUGUGUUUGAGGUAUUUGCACAAUCAGUUGAAAACGGCUGUAUAUAUAUAUAUAUAUAUAUAUAUAUAUAUAUAUAUAUAUAUAUAUAUAUAUAUAUAAAAAUGACUGAAUAAAUAGUCAACGAUCAAUCUUACAGGGCGAUGGAUCAUGUAAUAUGAUUCUGAACACUACAAAAUAUAAUAUAUAACAAGUCAAAAAGGGUACAACAUCACCAUUAAAUAACUAUAAAAUAUACAAAUAUUAGAUAUUUCGGAUAACAGAUAUCCUUCUUCGGUAAUUGCACAAUGACAAAUGAAUCAUGUCAAUUCAAAUUGAGACUCUAUCAAAAUCUUGAUUUAUACAAUUUAAGCGAACGCUGGGACAAUUUUAAAAUUUCCAAACACACCGCAAAGACUACAGAAAUAUGCCAAAAAUAAAAAUAGUUAUUUACGAUGUGAAAUGGCACAACUCUAGAUUCACUUCGAUGACCAUUCAUGCGUUUGUUAAAUGGCUGCUCUGUCUCGCCAACAUACUGCAUGCCACAACGACAUUGAAGGAGGUAUACAACAUUCUGGGUUUUGCAAGUUACAUUGCAAUAUAUAGUGUACACAGACCCAGUCGAGUGGCAAGUGAAUGUUUGAGUAUUCAGUAUUUGUUGACAAGUCAUUUAACAAACGCAUGAAUGGUCAUCGAAGUGACUACACUUGCAAGCCCGACCUACCCGUAAGUCGUCAUUUGAGAUCACCUGGACACACACAAGCUGAUCUCAAAAACCUUACCAUCACGAUCAUAGACCACAACGAGGGUUGGUCGAAGGUCGACAGAGUCGCUCGGGAAAGAUUUUGGAUAAGAAAGUUACGGACAGUCUCCCCAGAGGGUAUAAAUGAAAAAACAUAGAACGAGUCCCUCAUUUUCCUGUGACUACCUGUUUCAAACAACGCCGGAUUUAGUACUGGCUUUACAGUUCGAAAUUAUUUUUAAAAUAACAGUUUAAAUUACCGGUUUUCAUUGAUUCGGGAUGAUGUAUAAGUACGUUGCCACGUUCACUUAUUUUACCUCAUUAUACAAAACUUAUUUUUUCAAUUAUUAUUAGACUGAUAUUCGUUUGGGAGGCUUAAAUAUGUAGUUUCUGUUGUAAUUGCCCUACCGUUGUCUAAUUUAUACCAUCCUGGAUCGGUUAGGACAUUUUUGAUUUUUUUGUUUGAGGACUGCCCUCAAUGCAGUUAUAACAUCUCAACUGUCACAACCUUUGGAAAUCUAGAGUUGUGCCAUUUCACAUCGUAAAUAACUAUUUUUAUUUUUGGCAUAUUUCUGUAGUCUUUGCGGUGUGUUUGGAAAUUUUAAAAUUGUUCCAGCGUUCGCUUAAAUUGUAUAAAUCAAGAUUUUGAUAGAGUCUCAAUUUGAAUUGACAUGAUUCAUUUGUCAUUGUGCAAUUACCGAAGAAGGAUAUCUGUUAUCCGAAAUAUCUAAUAUUUGUAUAUUUUAUAGUUAUUUAAUGGUGAUGUUGUACCCUUUUUGACUUGUUAUAUAUAUAUAUAUAUAUAUAUAUAUAUAUUUAUAUAAAUUCUAGAGUUUAUCUAAAAAUGAGGGUACUUUUAUAUGGUCUUCCAAAUACCGUUUCGAUCCCUAACAUCACUGAAGAGACAUUUAUUGUCGAAAUCCGGAUCUGGUGUACUAAAAAUAUAUUGACACCGUAUGUUUGUGGCAUAUCAUCGUGGCCACAAGUUAAACAAAUUUCUGUUUAGUAUUAAAUUUAUAUUAGGAUCCAUUUUGUUACAUCUUGUGAUCAAUUUUAUUUGGCAAUCGCCAAUAGCAGUCAGCAGGGUUAAAGAACAUCAGUUGCUCGACCUGUUAGUCAAAUGCCUUUUGUUUAAAUAUACUUUUUCACUUUUUUGGUCUUUUGAAAAAUGUUGUUUGUGCUGUGUUUAGACCCUUCUACAACGAAAUUUGUUUUACAUGCACACGUAUAAAAAUUGCGGUUUUUAUCCAACGCAAUCAUAGGUUUGAACGUAGUUUUCAAUUUAGACUCGUUUAUAUUUUUCGUUUGGGCUUGUAUCAUAUUUUCCCUCCGGUUUAUAUGAUCCGUUCAUCCUAUAUUGACUCUUAAAAUUCAAGAGUUUAUCUAAAAAUGAGGGUACUUUUUUCUAAAAAUGAGGGUACUUUUAUAUGGCCUUCCAAAUGCCGUUUCGAUCCCUAACAUCACUGAAGAGACAUUUAUUGUCGAAAUCCGGAUCUGGUGUACUAAAAAUAUAUUGACACCGUAUGUUUGUGGCAUAUCAUCGUGGCCACAAGUUAUAAAAAUUUCUGUUUAGUAUCAAAUUUAUAUUAAGAUCCAUUUUGUUACAUCUUGUGAUCAAUUUUAUUCGGCAAUCGCCAAUAGCAGUCAGCAGGGUUAAAGAACAUCAGUUGUUCGACCUGUUAGUCAAAUGCGUUUUGUUUAAAUAUACUUUUUCACUUUUUUGGUCUUUUGAAGAAAAAAAAUGUUGUUUGUGCUGUUUUUAGACCCUUCUACAACGAAAUUUGUUUUACAUGCACACGUAUAAAAAUUGCGGUUUUUAUCCAACGCAAUCAUAGGUUUGAACGUAGUUUUCAAUUUAGACUCGUAUAUAUACUCGUAUAUAUACCGCAUAUUCCUGUCAGCCAACAUUUCAGGUUCUUUCUGAAAGAUUUUGAUCACAUGAAGAUCCUUGUGAUCGAACAGGAUUGUACAUGGCAAAAUAGGCAAAGAGAAAAUCGGGAGAAGUUUUGGAUAAAAACACUGGGUGUCCUCCAUCCAGAUGGAAUCAAUAGAAAGAAAUAAUUAAAUUUACAGUCUAGUGUUUAUAUUAUUAUAUUCAGGAUUUUGGAUUAAAAUCAAUCGACCAAAACUUACCUGUAUUAUUAGUGAUCUAUGUUUACACCUUAUACAUUAUAUAUCAUUAUUGUUAAAACUUUUGUCACCGAAGAAGGCCAUCUGUUGAGCCGAAAUAUUUGCAAUUAUUGUAUAAUUUAUAUCAUCUGUUCAGUUUUUCCAUCUUUGUGCAAUGAUAUUCAACACUUUUUAGUGCUUUGUUUUCCAUCUAUUUAUCGGUAUUGUUACACAAUCUUUCAGACUCAUAUAUAUAUAUAUAGUGUCUAAAAAUAGCAACAAUCAACAUUCAAUCUAUCUAGGUGUGGAUCAGUUUGUAAAUAAACUGAUGCAGUUACUAAAUUAAAUUAUAUAAGUGUCUAAGAAUGUAACUUUAACACACUAAUGAGUGUCAUAAAAUUAGUUGUUAUAUUUUAUAUAUUAUUCACGCAAUAUUUCGCGAAACAAAUUAGCUUCAUCGGGCGUGUGCAUCUAUCUAGGUGAAAUCGGAUGCAUGACAAAAAAAUAUCUUUGUAGCUUGACGUUUUUGUGUAAAAGUUUAAAAUAUUGAUUGAUGGGGUAUAUAAAAGAUAUUUUUGCCGUUUAUUGUACAUAACAAUUUUUAAAUCUAAACAAAUAGUUGUUUUAGUUAAAUAGAAUGAAAUUCAUGAUUUAUUAAGGAAUAAAUCAUGAAUUUAUUAAGGAAUAAAUCAUGAAUUUCAUUCUAUUUAACUAAAACAACUAUUUGUUUAGAUUUAAAAAUUGUUAUGUACAAUAAACGGCAAAUCAAUCAAUAUUUUAAACUUUUACACAAAAACGUCAAGCUACAAAGAUAUUUUUUUGUCAUGCAUCCGAUUUCACAUAGAUAGCGGAUGUGGUCGAGUGGUCUAGAGCGCUGGACAUGAGGCUAAGCGAUUGGUGCUGUAGUGUAUCAAAGGUGUGAGUUCGAAUCCCGCUGAGGGACGGACAAAAAUUUGUCAGUAUAAAAUCUAACUCUAACACUGUUUGGUGUAAUUUUCAGACUUAUAUAUAUAUAUAUAUAAAUAUAUAUAUAUAUAUAUAUAUAUAUAACAAAAACGCAUGUCCUGUAUCGGUCACGAUAUCAUUAAAGUGUUGUGUUAUGCUGUGUGUUUACUGUAUAAUGAAAUUAGUUUAUAUGACCGAUAACUUUUACGAAAGAAGUGGGGGACUUAUACAAGUCUUUAUAGGAAUAACAUAAUGAUUGUCACAUGGUGGUCAUGAUCUACGUACUAUGCUGUGGCAUACUAGAUCUGACUAGGUUUGUGUUGCGGGCAUGUGUGUCGUUAUUUCGUUUUUUAUUUUGACGGUGUCAGUUUCUUUUUAAAUUUCUAUUUUGAAGUUCCUCUCACCUGUGAAAUUGACUGAAUGAGAUUUUUUCAGUACAAUUUUUAAGAGAUACUCAUAGAAAUAAUAUAGAAAUAGAAAAAAAAAAAGAAAAAGUUUAGUAUACAACACUGAAACCUAAUGCAAUAGCCACACGGACUUCUUUGUCGAAUCUGAGUGAAUAUCAAGCGCCACAGAAGAACACGCUAAUCAUGCUUCAUAUGUUGCAAUUGGUUAAUAUAUAUAAGAUGGUAAGUCUCAUGAAUGAAAGUCAUAAAACUGAGCGUUAUCAAUCAGAUACACAUUCUGACAAAUAAUGCCAUUUCAGGGAUGUUAGAACCACCAACUCAAAUGCAAGUAAUCAGAUUUCUUUGAAAAAGGCCAUCAAAAAGUUGUUGUUGAUUUUGCUGUUUUGUAAAAAAGAAAAGUUUUUAAUAUGUAUUCCUUUUAUCUUUUCAGAUUGAAACAAGAAAGAACUGAUAUAAGAAAUAUCAGUUUGAUGUUCAUCAACAGUUUACAAAGAUAAUUGAAUAGACUUUUAAUACAUUACUUUUUUAUGAAAAUUAAAAUUAUUUAUCAGUAGUAAAAUCAAAGUGCACUGCAUUCAGCACCAAAUAAAGCACAUAACUGCA
RNAcentral lists this long non-coding RNA (5931 nucleotides) under Mytilus galloprovincialis (Mediterranean mussel). The record is from RNAcentral. Lineage: Eukaryota; Metazoa; Mollusca; Bivalvia; Mytilida; Mytilidae.